RNAcentral lists this ribosomal RNA (1442 nucleotides) under uncultured organism. RNAcentral describes it as "SSU rRNA". It matches the Rfam family "Bacterial small subunit ribosomal RNA". The record is from RNAcentral.
CUACAGGCUUAACACAUGCAAGUCGAGGGGCAGCAUUUCAGUUUGCUUGCAAACUGGAGAUGGCGACCGGCGCACGGGUGAGUAACACGUAUCCAACCUGCCGAUAACUCGGGGAUAGCCUUUCGAAAGAAAGAUUAAUACCCGAUGGUAUAAUCAGACCGCAUGGUCUUGUUAUUAAAGAAUUUCGGUUAUCGAUGGGGAUGCGUUCCAUUAGGCAGUUGGUGAGGUAACGGCUCACCAAACCUUCGAUGGAUAGGGGUUCUGAGAGGAAGGUCCCCCACAUUGGAACUGAGACACGGUCCAAACUCCUACGGGAGGCAGCAGUGAGGGAUAUUGGUCAAUGGGCGCAGGCCUGAACCAGCCAAGUAGCGUGAAGGAUGACUGCCCUAUGGGUUGUAAACUUCUUUUAUAUGGGAAUAAAGUUUUCCACGUGUGGAAUUUUGUAUGUACCAUAUGAAUAAGGAUCGGCUAACUCCGUGCCAGCAGCCGCGGUAAUACGGAGGAUCCGAGCGUUAUCCGGAUUUAUUGGGUUUAAAGGGAGCGUAGGUGGACAGUUAAGUCAGUUGUGAAAGUUUGCGGCUCAACCGUAAAAUUGCAGUUGAUACUGGCUGUCUUGAGUACAGUAGAGGUGGGCGGAAUUCGUGGUGUAGCGGUGAAAUGCUUAGAUAUCACGAAGAACUCCGAUUGCGAAGGCAGCUCACUGGACUGCAACUGACACUGAUGCUCGAAAGUGUGGGUAUCAAACAGGAUUAGAUACCCUGGUAGUCCACACAGUAAACGAUGAAUACUCGCUGUUUGCGAUAUACAGUAAGCGGCCAAGCGAAAGCAUUAAGUAUUCCACCUGGGGAGUACGCCGGCAACGGUGAAACUCAAAGGAAUUGACGGGGGCCCGCACAAGCGGAGGAACAUGUGGUUUAAUUCGAUGAUACGCGAGGAACCUUACCCGGGCUUAAAUUGCAUUUGAAUAUAUUGGAAACAGUAUAGCCGUAAGGCAAAUGUGAAGGUGCUGCAUGGUUGUCGUCAGCUCGUGCCGUGAGGUGUCGGCUUAAGUGCCAUAACGAGCGCAACCCUUAUCUUUAGUUACUAACAGGUCAUGCUGAGGACUCUAGAGAGACUGCCGUCGUAAGAUGUGAGGAAGGUGGGGAUGACGUCAAAUCAGCACGGCCCUUACGUCCGGGGCUACACACGUGUUACAAUGGGGGGUACAGAAGGCAGCUACCUGGUGACAGGAUGCUAAUCCCAAAAGCCUCUCUCAGUUCGGAUCGAAGUCUGCAACCCGACUUCGUGAAGCUGGAUUCGCUAGUAAUCGCGCAUCAGCCAUGGCGCGGUGAAUACGUUCCCGGGCCUUGUACACACCGCCCGUCAAGCCAUGAAAGCCGGGGGUACCUGAAGUACGUAACCGCAAGGAGCGUCCUAGGGUAAAACUGGUAAUUGGGGCUAAG